This 459-nucleotide ribosomal RNA is filed under the name uncultured bacterium. RNAcentral's name for it is "partial 16S ribosomal RNA". It matches the Rfam family "Bacterial small subunit ribosomal RNA", at positions 338 to 795 of the family's 1533-position model. The record is from RNAcentral.
CCUACGGGAGGCAGCAGUGAGGAAUAUUGGUCAAUGGCCGGGAGGCUGAACCAGCCAAGUCGCGUGAGGGAAGACGGCCCUACGGGUUGUAAACCUCUUUUGUCAGGGAGCAAGGUGCAGGUCGGGACCUGCUGUGAGAGUACCUGAAGAAAAAGCAUCGGCUAACUCCGUGGCAGCAGCCGCGGUAAUACGGAGGAUGCGAGCGUUAUCCGGAUUUAGUGGGUUUAAAGGGUGCGCAGGCGGAGGCACAAGUCAGCGGUAAAAUCGCGGGGCUCAACCCCGCUCCGCCGUUGAAACUGUGUCCCUUGAGUGCGCGAAGGGUAGGCGGAAUGCGUGGUGUAGCGGGGAAAUGCAUAGAUAUCACGCAGAACUCCGAUCGCGAAGGCAGCCUACCGGCGCGCAACUGACGCUCAUGCACGAAAGCGUGGGUAUCGAACAGGAUUAGAUACCCGAGUAGUC